Molecule: ribosomal RNA, 420 nt
Filed under: uncultured bacterium
Lineage: Bacteria
Description: bacterial SSU rRNA
Rfam family: Bacterial small subunit ribosomal RNA
Source: RNAcentral
AUAGUUUGAUCAUGGCUCAGAAUCAACGCUGGCGGCGUGCCUCAGACAUGCAAGUCGAACGCGAAAGUCCCCUUCGGGGGGCAGGUAGAGUGGCGCACGGGUGAGUAACACGUAGGUAAUCUACCUUUGGAUUGGGAAUAACAACCGGAAACGGUUGCUAAUACCGAAUAAUGCAGCGGCACCUAGUGGUGACAGUUGUUAAAGCGGGGGAUCGCAAGACCUCGCGUCUGAAGAGGAGCCUGCGGCAGAUUAGCUAGUUGGUAAGGUAACGGCUUACCAAGGCUAUGAUCUGUAGCCGGCCUGAGAGGGCGGUCGGCCACACUGACACUGACAUACGGGUCAGACUCCUACGGGAGGCAGCAGUCGGGAAUUUUGGGCAAUGGGCGCAAGCCUGACCCAGCAACGCCGCGUGAAGGACGA